Molecule: ribosomal RNA, 1477 nt
Filed under: uncultured bacterium
Lineage: Bacteria
Description: 16S ribosomal RNA
Rfam family: Bacterial small subunit ribosomal RNA
Source: RNAcentral
UGGCUCAGGAUGAACGCUGGCGGCGUGCUUAACACAUGCAAGUCGAGCGAAGCGUAUUAGCGGAAGUUUUCGGAUGGAAGCGGAUAUGACUUAGCGGCGGACGGGUGAGUAACGCGUGGAUAACCUGCCUCAUACAGGGGGAUAACAGUUAGAAAUGACUGCUAAUACCGCAUAAGCGCACAGGACCGCAUGGUCUGGUGUGAAAAACUCCGGUGGUAUGGGAUGGAUCCGCGUCUGAUUAGCUGGUUGGUGAGGUAACGGCCCACCAAGGCGACGAUCAGUAGCCGACCUGAGAGGGUGGCCGGCCACAUUGGGACUGAGACACGGCCCAAACUCCUACGGGAGGCAGCAGUGGGGAAUAUUGCACAAUGGGGGAAACCCUGAUGCAGCAACGCCGCGUGAGUGAAGAAGUAUUUCGGUAUGUAAAGCUCUAUCAGCGGGGAAGAAGAAAGACGGUACCUGACUAAGAAGCCCCGGCUAACUACGUGCCAGCAGCCGCGGUAAUACGUAGGGGGCAAGCGUUAUCCGGAUUUACUGGGUGUAAAGGGAGCGUAGACGGCUGUGCAAGUCUGAAGUGAAAGCCCGUGGCUCAACCGCGGAACUGCUUUGGAAACUGUAUAGCUUGAGUACUGGAGAGGCAGGCGGAAUUCCUAGUGUAGCGGUGAAAUGCGUAGAUAUUAGGAGGAACACCAGUGGCGAAGGCGGCCUGCUGGACAGAAACUGACGUUGAGGCUCGAAAGCGUGGCGAGCAAACAGGAUUAGAUACCUUGGUAGUCCACGCGGUAAACGAUGAAUGCUAGGUGCUGGUGAGCAAAGCUGUUCGGUGCCGUCGCAAACGCAGUAAGCAUUCCACCUGGGGAGUACGUUCGCAAGAAUGAAACUCAAAGGAAUUGACGGGGACCCGCACAAGCGGUGGAGCAUGUGGUUUAAUUCGAAGCAACGCGAAGAACCUUACCAAGUCUUGACAUCCUCCUGAAUGAUGGGUAAAGCCGUCAGGCUCUUCGGGACAGGAGAGACAGGUGGUGCAUGGUUGUCGUCAGCUCGUGUCGUGAGAUGUUGGGUUAAGUCCUGCAACGAGCGCAACCUUUAUCCUCAGUAGCCAGCGGCCAGGCCGGGCACUCUGUGGAGACUGCCAGGGAGAACCUGGAGGAAGGUGGGGAUGACGUCAAAUCAUCAUGCCCCUUAUGAUUUGGGCUACACACGUGCUACAAUGGCGUAAACAAAGGGAAGCGAAGUGGCGACACGGAGCGAACCCAAAAAUAACGUCUCAGUUCGGAUUGUAGUCUGCAACUCGACUACAUGAAGCUGGAAUCGCUAGUAAUCGCGGAUCAGAAUGCCGCGGUGAAUACGUUCCCGGGUCUUGUACACACCGCCCGUCACACCAUGGGAGUCAGUAACGCCCGAAGUCAGUGACCUAACCUUAGGGAGGGAGCUGCCGAAGGCGGGACGGAUAACUGGGGUGAAGUCGUAACAAGGU